CUCACUUCCUGCUGUCUUCUCCCGUCCACUCUCUCUGCAUCCAUCAUUCAUGCUCUGGUCGAGGGAAUAAUUCGGCUUCCUGGUGUUUUCAUGUCCACGUGAUGAAACAGAAGGACAUGGACUUGUGUCAUCUCAGCAAACUUGUGGAGCCUGGAGCGUCCAGAACAAAAGACUUCAUUCUGUGGGGAGUCCAGUAAAUUUCAGAGCGACCAGAUUUUGACGUUGAUGUAAAAGAAAAGGCCACUUGAUUCAAGUUUUGGUGACCAAAGUACACUUGCUGUGCACAGUGUGGAGAUGAGAAAGCAGACAGAUUUUCUCCCCUCCUUUGUAAAAGUAUUUCCUUCUCUUUGCAUGUGUACAGCUGAAUGCAACACCAUGUAUGCUUUUGAGGAUAGACUCUAUGAAACCAUUUGAAACUGGUUUUUGUCCUUCCUGUAAGUGUGGCUCAAAGACCCAUUUUUACUUUCAGACACUUGGAUGAUACAUGGUAUAAAGAAUUCCUUUAGUGUCAGUGCACCCAAGGCAAAUGUACCUUCCUGCAUAUCACCUCACCUCACCUCACCUCACCCACAGAAAUGCAUUUCAUCAUAGAGGUUGCAGGAAUGCCAGCAGUGCGGGAACUGGAGCAGUUCUGGGGUUCAGUACCGUGCUCAAAGCGCUUGGGCAGAGAUGGUGGGGACUGGAGAUGUAAUACCAGCCCACAGAUGGCAUGCACCUUCUUGUUGGUGGACAGGACUGAACCAGAGGCCUUCAGCAAAUGUUCAGGAAGAGGAAAGUUUGAUGUGAUGGUGGUGUUAGCCAGAAGGCUCAAGUUGUAUUAACCGUUUUUUUCUUUUUACCUCUUGGUGAUGUAUUACUUAGUGUAUUGCUUACUGUAAAUCCCUCAUUAUCAAGUUGAGUCACAUUACUCCAUUUCUCCACAUGUGAUAAAAAACAUGGUUACACAUGUCUAAUUAUUCUGAAUAAUGAGCUUUCAAACGCAUUUCUUAACGUUUUUAACUUAUAAAAUAACCCAAAUCCUUUUGUAUAAAAAAUAUCUUUUUAAUGGAAACCAUCAUAAAACGGACCCCUAUACGGAAAAGUUAACUCAUGUACAGCUGGAAAACCUAGAUUUCUUUCCUUCUGAUGAUGUGCCUGUUUGAGGAUGACACCACUUACUGAAAGUCAUGUGACUUAAGGAGAAAUCCUUCACUUUACUUGACUGGUGAGUUUGAUGAGAACUGCCUGCCAGCAGCUGUACAAUAGAGACAGACGUGUAAUGGUGUUGUUUUGUUAGUUGUUCUAAGAUGCCUCGAUAGCCAUCAAAAACGUGUGAGGGUAAACACACUGCACUCUUAGGCAAUAUACGAUGAACCUUAUUGGAGGAAAUCGGGUAGUUGAAAUGUUUUGUGCAAAAGCAUUCCUUGAAAAUAUAGGAGUGCAAUUCUGCUGAAGGGAAAUUAUAGGGAAAUUAAAGGGAAAUGAUUGAUUACUAAAUGAAGACUAAUUAAAAACCCAGAAGGAUGGAAGAAAGGAGCAAGAAAGAAACAGAAGCAGAGUGAAAUAGAGCACAGGUGCUGUGCACAACAGAAACCCCAGGAUCCGGCUGAGCGAGAACAGGCGAGAGUUUCCUAACAGUGCUGCGAGUCCUGACAUGAUGCUGAUCGUGACACCGAGCCAGGAUGGGAUCGCGGAACAGGGAGUGAGACUAGACCCAGAAAAACGGGAUUCCACUCUCACUCCCUGCUCACGGAGCAACAUACCUCUCCAAGAGUUUCCCACGAGAAAAACCUCCGGCGUUUUUCGUUCUAGGUAUAAGCAAAAAAGAAAAAAAUGAAAAGAGAAAAGUCAGCAAAGGCAGGAGAGACAGGGAGAUGGAUAAAUAGAUACAACAUGGAGCAGCAUGGGAAAACUGGGGGCAUGUCGUGGUGUAUUUUGAGUGGGGGUGACAGAAGACAGACAGUCAGAGGGAUUAUGUGUGAGCUUUAUGAGAAAAACUACUAGAUAGGCAUCAGCUGGCCAUCUCUGGACCACAAGGUUUUCAUAACUGUUUAGCAAGUUGCGUUCAGCUAUGAUACAGGUGCUCAAUGCCCAGCAGAGGCCAGGAAUACACAAGAGUCAACAUGAGUGGUUAAAUCAACACAUAAAGAUAUUCAGACAAAAUGCCAGGGUGUGGACCAUGCCUCUGCCUUUGGCAUUUAAUUUGACCCACAAAAUGUACCUGAAAUUGCCGGUGAUGUGACGUUUUUUUUUUUCCCCUCUGCUCUUUUUCUUCCCUUCUUCCUCCCAACGCCUCCAUCCAUCCCUUUGUUAGGAGGAUAAAGUCACAGCUGUCAAACCUGUUCUUUGUCUUUAUUUAUCUGCUGGAUCGGGAGGGAUUUAUUUCCAUCACCACCUCUUCCUGCUCUUUUAAGGAACAUAGAGGAGAGUUAUUAUGAGCUAAGUAAGAACUUGAGCAGUUUUUUAGACCUUUAAUCUUUAUAUACACUGUGGACGCUACAUAGUUUAUGUACAUGUUCCUGAAACUGGUGUUGACAAGCACCCACUCAGCUGAGAUUCCCCCAAACAAGGUUACUAACUGAUUCUCACCCUGAACUUUGACCUCCCUGUGGAGGGAGCAACUGAAAACAGGAACGUUGCUUACAAGGACAGCUCCUCAAAAGAAAAAGAGAAAAAGAAUUAAAGUGUGACAUUUUUACAGUGGAGGAAAAUAUUGAACACUUCAGUAAAAGUAGCAAUACUACAAUCUAAAAAUGCUCCAUUACAAGUAAAGGUCUUGCAGUCAAACACCUUUGUAAUUAAUUAUUUAAUUAUAUUUACAGUACUUGAAUAAAUAUUCCACAUUUGCGUUGUGUAAUUAUGACUGAAACACUGAGACUAGUGACAUGUUAUUUACUUAAUCAUUGUAGUUAAAUAGGUGUCUCUGAGCCAGGAAGAAAUUUUCCAUCAUAGUGCUGACUCACUCUUUGCAUCUGAUUUGCAUAGCUUUGCAUUCUACUGUGUUGCUGGCCAAGUUACCCAUUCAUCUGUGUAUUUCUAAAAUGUUAUGCUUUUUGUGUGUGCCUGAAGGUCUAAAUUAUGAUAGUAAAUCGCAAACAGAGAUUUUUAUCUGAUAGUAUCUUCUCCGCCCUCACGUUGGCAGGAUGACAGGCAGGUUGUGGUAAAAGUCCCCACCAUGGGUACAUUGUGGACCUGAGGCUUACAGUAAAGCUUUUUUUUUUUUCUUUUUGCUUCUUCAUCUCAUGUGCAAACACAAGUAAAAAGAAACUUUUAGAUGUUUGCACAGCUAAAGUACAUCCUGUUCCAGAGAACCCCCCACCCCACACACACAUUCACCCAUAGCGCAGCAUGAGUUCCCCAUAAUGGCAAGGACAAAACCAUACCUUUGUGCUUCUCUUCAACACUAAAUAAACAGAUUGUCUUCAGCUCCUGCAGGGUGCUGUAGUGCUGCAGUGGUUUGCACCAUUAUCAUUGUUAUUGUGGAAAGAACAAAAAUAUCUGUGGGUUUUAACAAUAACCCUCCAAUCUCUGAAAUCCACUGUUCUUUGACCUGGCAGAGGUCAUAUACUUUCGAUAAACAUGUCAACCUUCAAUUAUUUGUCCUAGUCAAAUGCUGUACUAUCAUCACAUCACAAAACCAAUAUGAUACAAAUACUACAAAGAGCCACACUAUGGUUAUGGGAGGGUGGACGAGUGAUUCGCACCUGGACACAUGAGACUCUAAUGAGUCACAUUAUGGUUGUGUACCCCCUUGCAGCGGAUGUUGGCUGGGCAGGUCUAGCUUUAAUACCUGGGACUCCCGACCAGUCAAUCAGAACUGAAGAAGCCUUUUGGAUGAAGCUUGACGCUUUUAAACUGAAGUCCAGUUGCCACAACUCAAGCUCUUCUACUCAAGAUGACCUGGACAACUGAGAAUCUACUCAGACUACAAAGACAACUACUGACUGCUGACUCAGUCCAUACACAUAUAUUCAUCUCUGUCACAGUAAAACCCAUCCAGUGAUGUACAAAAUGUGAAACAACACUAUGGACUUGUCUAUGUCGACAGCCUCACGUCCACUCAAGGAUGUAACAGUAACUCCUACAUAACAGGACCCUGUCAUGUUUCUGAUGAAGUGUUACACUACAGUAAGUGCUGGUUCAACAUGUGUGUGUUUAAGUCAUCACAGGCCAAUGUACAUGUUCAAACUUGUCAAGAGUUACAGAAGAGAAAACACUGUGUUGAAUGUGUGUGUGUGUAGGCCUAUGUACUACAGAGAAAGAGAUACAGAGAGAGAUGAUGAGAAGGAGGUACCCAUCCAUCUUAAUGAGUGCUUACUCAUGUUACUGUUCCUUUCGUUUCAUCUAUGAUGUUCCGCCUUUAGGUUUCUUUCUUCUUUUUUUUUUAAGUCCUCCUUUGACACCUGUAAGUCCUGCAGAGCAACUGACAGCCACCUAGCAAACAGCCUCAGCUUCAUCAAUCACACCUUGUUAUCAUGUUGGCACGUACUGUAAGCACCAAACGCAUAUUCAGCUUCACAGCUUGCUCAUAAACACAUCCUGUGCUCACUGAGAUGUGUAAAGACACACACUCUCUUUUUCACUAGAACCCAUUUCCUAGUGCCCUAUGUAACAUGCCCACACACUUUUUGUAUGUACAAAUACCCUGUAUGUGCGUGAGAGUUAUCAAGGCCCUGUGUUUCCUGUUUUGCAAUCCUCACCAUUGCCCUCCCAGAAAACGUCUGCCUCUGGCUGAUUCAGGAACACCCUGUUUUCUGCCCUGCUCAGUGGGUGCAUGCAACACUGAGGCAUAUGUAUGUGUCCUGCCUCUGAGAAAAGCUUAACAGAAAUAUUGUCUGUCGUUGUUCAGACCUUUUUUCAAAUCAUAAUGCUUUCAUUAAACGAUUUUAGGUGA
This is a long non-coding RNA of Scatophagus argus, 4873 nucleotides long. RefSeq lists it as uncharacterized. Lineage: Eukaryota; Metazoa; Chordata; Actinopteri; Scatophagidae. The transcript has 2 exons. The record is from RefSeq and is a predicted model, not a curated record.